ACACACCCCAGCCAUACAACCCAUCCACCAUUCUUUCAAAGGCCUCACCCCAACUUUCAAACUGGAGUACCACAAUCUGAAAAGCGUGUUUGACCAUAUUAGGCCACUUUUCUUGCUUGGAAAAUUUUCCUUGGACCGUCAAAGAGCACCUUAUAUAUGUAGUUUGUUUACUAAUUAAGUGUCAAACGCUUGAAACACACAGUCUGCGAGAUCAUUCUGUCAAUUUCCUUUUGUUUAUAGCUCUUGUUAUCCUUGUCAGUAUUCUCAAGAUGGAUGAGCGUCAUGAGAGACUGCGAGGGGCUGCUCAAGCAGGAAAUAACGAUGCACUGUAUGCAGUAAUUCGAGAGGGUGCAUAUCUUUUGGAUGGAAUUGAUCAGAUACCAUUCUUUGAUACCCCACUGCACAUAGCUGCAGAUGCGGGGCACACUGAUUUUGCCAUGGAGAUCAUGAACUUGAAGCCAUCACUAGCUUUAAAGUUGAACCAUGAUGGCUUUAGCCCUAUUCAACUUGCCUUGCAAAAUGGACGGUCCUUGAUCUCCCGGUAGUGGAUAAAGAUCUUGAUCGUGUAAAAGGAAAGGAGGGUAAAACUGCGUUGCACCACGUAGUUGGAGAAGCAGAUCUUAGGCUUCUACUCACAUUUCUCUUGUGUUGUCCUGAAUGUAUCAGAGAUGGGACAAAUCAAAAUGAGAUUGCUUUGCACAUUGCAGCGCAAAGAACCUACUGGAAGCUCUUCAAAUUCUAGUAGGUUGGCUUCGGAGGACACACCACAAAGAUGGAAAAUUAUGGGAAAAAGAAGUCCUCUAUUGGAAGAACAUGCUGUUGAAAGAUGAUUGAAACUUGGAUUGAAGUGUUUUGAAGGAAAGCUCGAUUGAUGCAUUGGAGUUUAAAGUUAGUUGUCUUAGCUGUCAAUGAAACGAAUCGUUUUGAUUUGUAUAAAGCUUUGGUUUGGUUAAACAACUAGUCAAGGUGUCGUUUUUUCAUGUUUAGUUGAAUCAUUUAGACAAAUGUCGUUUUAGUGUUUCUUCUUCAAUUGGUUGUUAACUUUCCAAAGACUUCAGUUCAGUUUUCUGUUAAUCUAUUGUUAGAUUCUUUAACAAACCCGAUUCUUGAGGAUUAGUUAGUUGUGUGAGUAAUUGUUGUAUAAAUACCAAGACUGUAUUAAGAAUCUUGGUGUGAAUGAAAAAAACCAAUUUGUAGUUUUUUUUUUUUUCUCUGUUCAAUUCUUUCUCUGUUUUAGUAUUCAAGAAAUACUUCUGAGUUUUCACAACAUGGUAUCAAAGCGAUUAAGUUCUCGAGGGACCAAAACCAUUCUGUUUUUUUAGUUGGUCUUCAGUAAUUUGCUGCUUUAAUCAGUGUUGAUUGAGUCAUGGCUUCAUCCAGUUAUAAUGCCUUAGCUCCCCCAAUUUUCUCAGGAGAAAAUUACACAAUUUGGUUAGUCAAAAUGAAGACGUUUCUCAGAGCUUUUGAUCUUUGGGAAGUGAUUGAAGUUGGAGGAGAAACUCUAGUCUAAAGGCACGCAAAUCUUACUCUUGCUCAAAUAAAGCAGCACAGUGAGGAAGUGGCUAAGAGAUGGUAAAACUUUUAUUAGAAUGUGGGAUCGAUAAGAACGCCAAGAACUGGAGAGGGUUGACAGCAAUGGGAAUCUUACAAGGCCAAGCCCGAGUCGGCAACAGAUAGACUUAAUUUGUCAAUUCUUAGUAAGUAAGCAAGCAAAACUGGUAAACAAAUUCUCAUUCCUCUCAAUUAUGAAUCAAACUGAUAGCUGAUAAAGCCAGUGAUUCCUCCAAGGUUACCAUGCAUGCACUUUCCAAGCAUUUCUUCAGGAAUUCAAAGUCUGCCACCGUAACUUAGUAAAUGCUACCCAAAAUAAUCAACAAUUUCUUUUUUA
Molecule: long non-coding RNA, 1888 nt
Organism: Theobroma cacao (cacao)
Lineage: Eukaryota; Viridiplantae; Streptophyta; Magnoliopsida; Malvales; Malvaceae
Source: RefSeq, a predicted model, not a curated record